UGCUCGGCUGGUAUUCGAACCCAGGACUCUUGUAUGCUAGACGAGUGCUUUACCAACCGAGCCACUUGGUGACC
Molecule: transfer RNA, 74 nt
Filed under: Aedes aegypti (yellow fever mosquito)
Lineage: Eukaryota; Metazoa; Arthropoda; Insecta; Diptera; Culicidae
Description: partial tRNA-OTHER
Source: RNAcentral